This 265-nucleotide long non-coding RNA is filed under the name Hordeum vulgare. RNAcentral's name for it is "long non-coding RNA (HVUL_LNC013439)". Lineage: Eukaryota; Viridiplantae; Streptophyta; Magnoliopsida; Poales; Poaceae. The record is from RNAcentral.
AAAACCCCACACCGAGAAUCGUGCAUGCAAAAAUAAGGGGAGCACUCUGUGUCGGUGCGCCGAUCGAAUUUUCGGCCGGUCGGGCAGCACCGUUCGAUUUGGGCUUCAAUAGCCGUUAGAUCUGGCAUCUCAUCCUCUCUUUGACUUCGUCUUCAACCUCUGUCCCCACGAGCCUCCGCCCCACGCGUCUCCGACCUCCUGCCCCAUGAGCAACCACAUCCUCUCCCUGUCAUCGUUUCUCGUCGCAGCACCCCAUGCCCUCUCC